This 440-nucleotide ribosomal RNA is filed under the name uncultured bacterium. Its description in RNAcentral is "bacterial SSU rRNA". It matches the Rfam family "Bacterial small subunit ribosomal RNA", at positions 958 to 1398 of the family's 1533-position model. The record is from RNAcentral.
AACGCGAAGAACCUUACCCAGGUUUGAAAUACAGAGGACAGCUCCAGAGAUGGAGUCUCCCGCAAGGGUCUUUGUACAGGUGCUGCAUGGCUGUCGUCAGCUCGUGCCGUGAGGUGUUGGGUUAAGUCCCGCAACGAGCGCAACCCUUAUCAUUAGUUGCCAACACGCGAGGUGGGAACUCUAAUGAGACUGCCCGGGUUAACCGGGAGGAAGGUGAGGAUGACGUCAAGUCCGCAUGGCCUUUAUACCUGGGGCUACACACGUUCUACAAUGGCCGGUACAAACCGCUGCAAACCCGCGAGGGGGAGCUAAUCGGAAAAAGCCGGCCUCAGUUCGGAUUGGAGUCUGCAACUCGACUCCAUGAAGCUGGAAUCGCUAGUAAUCGUGGAUCAGCAUGCCACGGUGAAUACGUUCCCGGGCCUUGUACACACCGAGACGAC